GGAGGAGGAGGAGGAGGAGGAGGAGGUGACGAGCUCAGGCUGCUCCCAUGCAUGCGGGCUGGCUUGGAGCGCACGGAUCAGCCGAGCUGUAGCGCCUACUGCCAAAACACUUUCUUGGCCGCUGAUUUUUCUCCCGUUUUUUUUUUCUCUUUCUUUACGUGGCCUGAUAGGAGCUAUUUAAAUCAGCCACGCAGCGAACCAGACGUGUCUCCCCACACUGCGCUGCGCUCUCCUUCCUGCGCCUCAAGUGACCGGAGAGGCGCAAAACUCUUCACCAAGCGGUGUCCGGUUUUUUUUUUUUUUUUUCUUUUUUCUCAGACACUGGAUGGAAUGAAAUAAAGUACUUGUUUUCUUUACAGGCAAAUCCUCAGAGUGGAACGCGUGCCUUCACGGCGGUGAAAAUAAUGGAUAAAAGAUUCUUGUAGAGGGAAUGGAAGAACAAGGGAGGGUAACAAGGGUUGGCGCAGUGAUUUGCAAGAUCAUUCAUUGAUCCGGUGCGUUUGACCUCAACUGGAACCAGCAGUCUGCCAGGGUAUGAGACCAUAUGCACGCAAACACACACACACACACACUUAGGUGCAAAGAAACACACUCUUCUUUCAAACGCAUACAACGCAUUAGUCUUUGCUAAGUAGAUGUUUCAGUCAUCUGCGCUCGCCAUCCCUCGCUACACCACUUUCACGUCACCCAUCAGUUAGUCUCUGACACACACACUCCCCAUCACCCAUCAGUUCGUCCGGCAGACACCCAAAUGUACAUCUUCACACUCAUGCGGAGCCCAACAUUUUUACAUCACACAUCAGAUUACCCCACAUUCACACACAC
Molecule: long non-coding RNA, 825 nt
Organism: Stegastes partitus (bicolor damselfish)
Lineage: Eukaryota; Metazoa; Chordata; Actinopteri; Pomacentridae
Exons: 3
Source: RefSeq, a predicted model, not a curated record